GGUGAUAAUUUCCCCGCCAAUGAACCAGAUAGACAUCCUGCGUGGCCCACACACGUACCCACCCAUGCGCCCAAACCCAUUCAGAGCGCUCUGGACUAGUGUCCCGACUAGAAGAUACCCGGCACUCAGGUCGCCAGAUCUUUAUUAAAAUUGUGGAUAGGACUUGAUCCACGGCUGUUGAUCCUUAUUUGCAGCCUAUCCUUGCAGCCUACACUUACAGGGAGUCGAGGACGAAGACGUCCCUGGACAGGGUCCAGACAAAGUUCGGAUCUGCGGAAGGAAUAGGGGGGGUCGAAAGCGAUUUACGGCAGCGCAUCAAUUCAACGGACAGAAGAAGGACGCGGGGACUGGCAAAUGAGUUCCAUUUAUAUCAUUGGUCAUUACGGAAAUUAUGCGACGCCGAAGCAGCUCCAGCCCCCAGAC
This 423-nucleotide small RNA is filed under the name Drosophila pseudoobscura pseudoobscura. RNAcentral's name for it is "GA30775". Lineage: Eukaryota; Metazoa; Arthropoda; Insecta; Diptera; Drosophilidae. The record is from RNAcentral.